This is a small nucleolar RNA of Apodemus sylvaticus (European woodmouse), 135 nucleotides long. The record is from RefSeq and is a predicted model, not a curated record. NCBI's taxonomy places the organism in Eukaryota, Metazoa, Chordata, Mammalia, Rodentia, Muridae.
UUGGCCUGGAAUCAAGACUAGCAGUUUGCCGAAGCCGUUGGUUUCGAGCUGAGGCCUAAAGAAUGCCUUUCUGUUUAGAAUUUCCACUGCAGAAAUUCUAGAAUGUAACGCUUGAUUCAUUAGAAAGAAGCAUCU